AUUGAACGCUGGCGGCAUGCUUUACACAUGCAAGUCGAACGGUAACAGGCCUUCGGGUGCUGACGAGUGGCGAACGGGUGAGUAAUGCAUCGGAACGUACCCAGAGGUGGGGGAUAACGCAGCGAAAGCUGUGCUAAUACCGCAUGUGAUCUGAGGAUGAAAGCGGGGGACCGAGCAGCAAUGUUUGGCCUCGCGCCUUUGGAGCGGCCGAUGUUGGAUUAGCUAGUUGGUGGGGUAAAGGCCUACCAAGGCGACGAUCCGUAGCUGGUCUGAGAGGACGACCAGCCACACUGGGACUGAGACACGGCCCAGACUCCUACGGGAGGCAGCAAUGGGGAAUUUUGGACAAUGGGCGCAAGCCUGAUCCAGCAAUGCCGCGUGCGGGAAGAAGGCCUUCGGGUUGUAAACCGCUUUUGGCAGGAACGAAACGGUGUCCGCUAAUACCGGGCGCUAAUGACGGUACCUGCAGAAUAAGCACCGGCUAACUACGUG
RNAcentral lists this ribosomal RNA (492 nucleotides) under uncultured bacterium. RNAcentral's name for it is "partial 16S ribosomal RNA". It matches the Rfam family "Bacterial small subunit ribosomal RNA", at positions 30 to 507 of the family's 1533-position model. The record is from RNAcentral.